CGGAUAAUAGUUUAAUCUAAAACAUUGGCUUUUCAUGCCAGAAAUUAGGACACUCCUAUUAUCUGU
This 66-nucleotide transfer RNA is filed under the name Leocrates chinensis. RNAcentral describes it as "tRNA-Glu". It matches the Rfam family "tRNA". Rfam says of the family: Transfer RNA (tRNA) molecules are approximately 80 nucleotides in length. Their secondary structure includes four short double-helical elements and three loops (D, anti-codon, and T loops). Further hydrogen bonds mediate the characteristic L-shaped molecular structure. tRNAs have two regions of fundamental functional importance: the anti-codon, which is responsible for specific mRNA codon recognition, and the 3' end, to which the tRNAs corresponding amino acid is attached (by aminoacyl-tRNA synthetases). tRNAs cope with the degeneracy of the genetic code in two manners: having more than one tRNA (with a specific anti-codon) for a particular amino acid; and 'wobble' base-pairing, i.e. permitting non-standard base-pairing at the 3rd anti-codon position. Lineage: Eukaryota; Metazoa; Annelida; Polychaeta; Phyllodocida; Hesionidae. The record is from RNAcentral.